Molecule: transfer RNA, 84 nt
Filed under: Candidatus Karelsulcia muelleri
Lineage: Bacteria; Pseudomonadati; Bacteroidota; Flavobacteriia; Flavobacteriales
Description: tRNA-Leu
Rfam family: tRNA
About the family: Transfer RNA (tRNA) molecules are approximately 80 nucleotides in length. Their secondary structure includes four short double-helical elements and three loops (D, anti-codon, and T loops).
Source: RNAcentral
GCGGAUAUGGUGGAAUUGGUAUACACGCUAGAUUUAGGAUCUAGUAUCUAUAAAGAUAUAAGGGUUCAAAUCCCUUUAUCCGCA